Long non-coding RNA from Salarias fasciatus (jewelled blenny), 167 nucleotides. RefSeq lists it as uncharacterized. The transcript is spliced from 2 exons. Lineage: Eukaryota; Metazoa; Chordata; Actinopteri; Blenniiformes; Blenniidae. The record is from RefSeq and is a predicted model, not a curated record.
AACACACAAACCACAUCUUCUCACAACGCCGUCUCAAUCAGAUAUGACUUUGUCAGACCUUGAUAAUCCCACUCAAGAUUCCUAAUGGUGAAAAUACACACUCUCACAGUCGGGGCCCGGUAGCAGCAGCUAUGGAAACACACACUGCCAAUAAACCAACGCGAUAG